AGUGAACGCUGGCGGUAGGCCUAACACAUGCAAGUCGAACGGCAGCACAGUAAGAGCUUGCUCCUACGGGUGGCGAGUGGCGGACGGGUGAGGAAUACAUCGGAAUCUACUUUUUCGUGGGGGAUAACGUAGGGAAACUUACGCUAAUACCGCAUACGGCCUACGGGUGAAAGCAGGGGAUCUUCGGACCUUGCGCGAUUGAAUGAGCCGAUGUCGGAUUAGCUAGUUGGCGGGGUAAAGGCCCACCAAGGCGACGAUCCGUAGCUGGUCUGAGAGGAUGAUCAGCCACACUGGAACUGAGACACGGUCCAGACUCCUACGGGAGGCAGCAGUGGGGAAUAUUGGACAAUGGGCGCAAGCCUGAUCCAGCCAUACCGCGUGGGUGAAGAAGGCCUUCGGGUUGUAAAGCCCUUUUGUUGGGAAAGAAAAGCAGCAGGUUAAUACCCCGCUGUUCUGACGGUACCCAAAGAAUAAGCACCGGCUAACUUCGUG
This 492-nucleotide ribosomal RNA is filed under the name uncultured bacterium. RNAcentral describes it as "partial 16S ribosomal RNA". It matches the Rfam family "Bacterial small subunit ribosomal RNA", at positions 29 to 507 of the family's 1533-position model. The record is from RNAcentral.